GACGAACGCUGGCGGCGUGCUUAACACAUGCAAGUCGAACGGAAAGGCCCUGCUUUUGUGGGGUGCUCGAGUGGCGAACGGGUGAGUAACACGUGAGUAACCUGCCCUUGACUUUGGGAUAACUUCAGGAAACUGGGGCUAAUACCGGAUAGGAGCUCCUGCUGCAUGGUGGGGGUUGGAAAGUUUCGGCGGUUGGGGAUGGACUCGCGGCUUAUCAGCUUGUUGGUGGGGUAGUGGCUUACCAAGGCUUUGACGGGUAGCCGGCCUGAGAGGGUGACCGGCCACAUUGGGAUUGCGAUACGGCCCAGACUCCUACGGGAGGCAGCAGUGGGGAAUAUUGCACAAUGGGCGGAAGCCUGAUGCAGCAACGCCGCGUGCGGGAUGACGGCCUUCGGGUUGUAAACCGCUUUCGCCUGUGACGAAGCGUGAGUGACGGUAAUGGGUAAAGAAGCACCGGCUAACUACGUG
RNAcentral lists this ribosomal RNA (468 nucleotides) under uncultured bacterium. Its description in RNAcentral is "partial 16S ribosomal RNA". It matches the Rfam family "Bacterial small subunit ribosomal RNA", at positions 28 to 507 of the family's 1533-position model. The record is from RNAcentral.